UAGCCUUGACAUACUACAGAAUUUGACAGAGAUGUUGAAGUGCCUUCGGGAGCUGUAAUACAGGUGCUGCACGGCUGUCGUCAGCUCGUGUCGUGAGAUGUUGGGUUAAGUCCCGCAACGAGCGCAACCCUCGUCCUUAGUUACUAACGGUUCGGCCGAGGACUCUAAGGAGACUGCCUUCGUAAGGAGGAGGAAGGUGAGGACGACGUCAAGUCAUCAUGGCCCUUACGGCUAGGGCAACACACGUGCUACAAUGGUUAGGACAAUGAGAAGCAAUAUCGCGAGGUGGAGCAAAUCUAUAAACCUAAUCUCAGUUCGGAUUGUAGUCUGCAACUCGACUACAUGAAGCUGGAAUCACUAGUAAUCGUAGAUCAGCUAUGCUACGGUGAAUACGUUCCCGGGUCU
Molecule: ribosomal RNA, 405 nt
Filed under: uncultured bacterium
Lineage: Bacteria
Description: bacterial SSU rRNA
Rfam family: Bacterial small subunit ribosomal RNA
Source: RNAcentral